This 50-nucleotide ribosomal RNA is filed under the name Anisakis simplex (herring worm). RNAcentral's name for it is "partial 28S ribosomal RNA". The record is from RNAcentral. Lineage: Eukaryota; Metazoa; Nematoda; Chromadorea; Rhabditida; Anisakidae. RNAcentral also lists the same sequence under 4 other names.
UUUGACCUCAGCUCAGUCGUGAUUACCCGCUGAAUUUAAGCAUAUAAUUA